CGCGCGCCUCGUGCGCUGGCUGGGCGGUUUCGGCGCCGUCGCCGCCGGUUACGCGGUGUUCCAGUCACUGGUGGGCAUCC
This 80-nucleotide transfer RNA is filed under the name Streptomyces aurantiacus. RNAcentral's name for it is "tRNA-Asp". The record is from RNAcentral. Lineage: Bacteria; Bacillati; Actinomycetota; Actinomycetes; Kitasatosporales; Streptomycetaceae.